ACGACUGCUAAGACUGGAUAGGAAGAUAAAAGGCAUCUUGUAUCUUUUAAAAGACCUAGUUAAUAGGUAUGCUUUAGGAGGGGCUUGCGCCAUAUUAGUUAGUUGGUAGGGUAAUGGCCUACCAAGACGAUGAUGUGUAGCUGGACUGAGAGGUUGAACAGCCACAUUGGGACUGAGACACGGCCCAAACUCCUACGGGAGGCAGCAGUAGGGAAUUUUCGGCAAUGGAGGAAACUCUGACCGAGCAACGCCGCGUGAAUGACGAAGUACUUCGGUAUGUAAAGUUCUUUUAUCGAGGAAGAAAAGCAAAUGGCGAACCAUUUGUUUGCCGGUACUUGAUGAAUAAGCCCCGGCUAAUUAUGUGCCAGCAGCCGCGGUAAGACAUAAGGGGCAAGUGUUAUCCGGAAUUAUUGGGCGUAAAGGGUGCGUAGGCGGUCUAGUAAGUCAGUGGUGUAAUGGCAACGCUUAACGUUGUCCGGCUAUUGAAACUGCUAAACUUGAGUUAGAUAGAGGCGAGUGGAAUUCCAUGUGUAGCGGUAAAAUGCGUAAAUAUAUGGAGGAACACCAGAGGCGUAGGCGGCUCGCUGGGUCUUAACUGACGCUGAGGCACGAAAGCGUGGGGAGCAAACAGGAUUAGAUACCCUGGUAGUCCACGCCGUAAACGAUGAGUACUAAGUGUCGGGUUAAACCGGUACUGAAGUUAACACAUUAAGUACUCCGCCUGAGUAGUACGUACGCAAGUAUGAAACUUAAAGGAAUUGACGGGACUCCGCACAAGCGGUGGAUCAUGUUGUUUAAUUCGAAGAUACCCGAAAAACCUUACCAGGUCUUGACAUGUUUUUGCAAAAUGAUAGUAAUAUCGUGGAGGUUACCAGAAACACAGGUGGUGCAUGGUUGUCGUCAGCUCGUGUCGUGAGAUGUUAGGUUAAGUCCUAAAACGAGCGAAACCCUUAUCGUUAGUUGCCAGCACGUUAUGGUGGGGACUUUAACGAGACUGCCAAUGAUAAAUUGGAGGAAGGUGAGGAUCACGUCAAAUCAGCAUGCCCCUUAUGACCUGGGCUACAAACGUGAUACAAUGGCUGUUACAAAGGGUAGCUGAAACGCAAGUUCUUGGCCAAUCCCCAAAAACAGUCCCAGUCCGGAUUGAAGUCUGCAACUCGACUUCAUGAAGUUGGAAUCGCUAGUAAUCGCGAAUCAGCAUGUCGCGGUGAAUACGUUCGCGGGGUUUGUACACACCGC
Molecule: ribosomal RNA, 1239 nt
Filed under: Common Parthenium witches'-broom phytoplasma
Lineage: Bacteria; Bacillati; Mycoplasmatota; Mollicutes; Acholeplasmatales; Acholeplasmataceae
Description: bacterial SSU rRNA
Rfam family: Bacterial small subunit ribosomal RNA
Source: RNAcentral